UACCCUUAGGACUGGGAUAACCCUGGGAAACUGGGGCUAAUACCGGAUAGGCAAUUAUUCCUGCAAUGGUUUUUUGUUUAAAUGUUUUUUCGCCUAAGGAUGGGUCUGCGGCCGAUUAGGUAGUUGGUUAGGUAAUGGCUUACCAAGCCGUUGAUCGGUACGGGUUGUGAGAGCAAGAGCCCGGAGAUGGAACCUGAGACAAGGUUCCAGGCCCUACGGGGUGCAGCAGGCGCGAAACCUCCGCAAUGUGAGAAAUCGCGACGGGGGGAUCCCAAGUGCCAUUCUUAACGGGAUGGCUUUUCAUUAGUGUAAAGAGCUUUUGGAAUAAGAGCUGGGCAAGACCGGUGCCAGCCGCCGCGGUAACACCGGCAGCCCUAGUGGUAACAAUUUUUAUUGGGCCUAAA
This 404-nucleotide ribosomal RNA is filed under the name uncultured archaeon. RNAcentral describes it as "bacterial SSU rRNA". It matches the Rfam family "Archaeal small subunit ribosomal RNA", at positions 110 to 514 of the family's 1478-position model. The record is from RNAcentral.